UGAGCCACUUUUACAGACACUUCAGGGUGGACCUUUCAGCUGGGGAACUGAACCAAGUGUCCUCUGCACUGGGAUCAGCCAAACUCAACGGCAAGAUAAAGAUUUCCAGUAGCAGAUAUCUGAUCAGCAUCUUCAGCCUGCUCACCGAAUGUGCCCUCCUGAAAAUGCCCAUCUAGCUGUGACACUGAGCAGCUAUCGAAAAAAAAAAAACAGACUAUAGUUUUUUAUAGUUUCAGCUUUAAUUUAAAU
Molecule: long non-coding RNA, 249 nt
Organism: Poecilia latipinna (sailfin molly)
Lineage: Eukaryota; Metazoa; Chordata; Actinopteri; Cyprinodontiformes; Poeciliidae
Exons: 3
Source: RefSeq, a predicted model, not a curated record